This 250-nucleotide long non-coding RNA is filed under the name Lathyrus oleraceus (garden pea). RNAcentral's name for it is "Pisum sativum (pea) long non-coding RNA (PSAT_LNC011170)". Lineage: Eukaryota; Viridiplantae; Streptophyta; Magnoliopsida; Fabales; Fabaceae. The record is from RNAcentral.
UUGGUUUCAGGUGUAAGCAAGUGUACCAGAGGGAUAGACAAGCAAAUCGGACGUUCCGGGCCCGUUGGAAGAAGAAAAUUGGACAUACAGUAGUCCUGACACGGCUACCCGUGUUGCCUAACACUGGCCGUGUCAGGAGAAGGCACUUGGAAGAGGAAAACAGGGAGCUGACACGGGUGCUCGUGUUAGCUGACACGGCCCGUGUCAGCCUCCCUGAAGGGGCGUGUCAAGGCUUUUUGCUCCAGAAGCC